CUCUGUUACAGAAGUUUCAGGGCGCUAAGGAG
The submitters of this non-coding RNA (32 nucleotides) gave its source as unclassified sequences. The record is from Rfam.